GGGGCUGUGGCUCAACGGGAGAGCGUCUCAAUGGCAUUGAGAAGGUUAGGGGUUCGAUUCCCCUCAGCUCCACCA
RNAcentral lists this transfer RNA (75 nucleotides) under Chloroflexota bacterium. Its description in RNAcentral is "Chloroflexi bacterium (groundwater metagenome) tRNA-Ala". It matches the Rfam family "tRNA". Rfam says of the family: Transfer RNA (tRNA) molecules are approximately 80 nucleotides in length. Their secondary structure includes four short double-helical elements and three loops (D, anti-codon, and T loops). The record is from RNAcentral. Lineage: Bacteria; Bacillati; Chloroflexota.